GAACGGGUGAGUAACACGUGGGUGAUCUGCCCCCUACUCUGGGAUAAGCCUGGGAAACUGGGUCUAAUACCGGAUAUGACCUUGGGCUUCAUGGUUCUUGGUGGAAAGUUUUUUCGGUAGGGGAUGAGCCCGCGGCCUAUCAGCUUGUUGGUGGGGUAAUGGCCUACCAAGGCGACGACGGGUAGCCGGCCUGAGAGGGCGACCGGCCACACUGGGACUGAGACACGGCCCAGACUCCUACGGGAGGCAGCAGUGGGGAAUAUUGCACAAUGGGCGAAAGCCUGAUGCAGCGACGCCGCGUGGGGGAUGACGGCCUUCGGGUUGUAAACCCCUUUCAGUCGGGACGAAGCGAGAGUGACGGU
RNAcentral lists this ribosomal RNA (362 nucleotides) under Smaragdicoccus sp. MS238g. Its description in RNAcentral is "bacterial SSU rRNA". It matches the Rfam family "Bacterial small subunit ribosomal RNA", at positions 100 to 476 of the family's 1533-position model. The record is from RNAcentral. Lineage: Bacteria; Bacillati; Actinomycetota; Actinomycetes; Mycobacteriales; Nocardiaceae.